This 222-nucleotide long non-coding RNA is filed under the name Lathyrus oleraceus (garden pea). RNAcentral's name for it is "Pisum sativum (pea) long non-coding RNA (PSAT_LNC005843)". The record is from RNAcentral. Lineage: Eukaryota; Viridiplantae; Streptophyta; Magnoliopsida; Fabales; Fabaceae.
AAAGCUGAAAUACUCAUGCAAAAAGGGUAAUUCGAUUCCACGAAGAAUACGAAACCAAACUCAACUGGGGAAGAAAAUCUUCAACACAGGAGUAAAAAGAGAUAUAUUAUCUAUUACCGAGACGCUCAUUUUUGCCUAAGGAGCCCUUUCGGGUUUUCAACUUAGCGAGCUAUUCAGUUUUUUUAUUUUUUUUAGGCAAAGUAUUUCUUGACUGCAUCUGAA